UGGGGAAUAUUGGACAAUGGGGGCAACCCUGAUCCAGCGAUGCCGCGUGUGUGAAGAAGGCCUUAGGGUUGUAAAAUCCUUUCGUUGGGGACGAUAAUGACGGUACCCAAAGAAGAAGCUCCGGCUAACUACGUGCCAGCAGCCGCGGUAAUACGUAGGGUGCGAGCGUUAAUCGGAAUUACUGGGCGUAAAGCGUGCGCAGGCGGCGACAUAAGACAGAUGUGAAAUCCCCGGGCUCAACCUGGGAACUGCGUUUGUGACUGUGUUGCUAGAGUGUAGCAGAGGGGGGUGGAAUUCCACGUGUAGCAGUGAAAUGCGUAGAGAUGUGGAGGAACACCGAUGGCGAAGGCAGCCCCCUGGGUUAACACUGACGCUCAUGCACGAAAGCGUGGGGAGCAAACAGGAUUAGAUACCCGGGUAGUCCCUGAGCGGGCUGGCAAGGCGCAU
This 447-nucleotide ribosomal RNA is filed under the name uncultured bacterium. RNAcentral's name for it is "bacterial SSU rRNA". It matches the Rfam family "Bacterial small subunit ribosomal RNA", at positions 355 to 825 of the family's 1533-position model. The record is from RNAcentral.